CUUAACACAUGCAAGUCGAACGAUUAAAGCACCUUCGGGUGUGUAUAAAGUGGCGAACGGCUGAGUAACACGUGGGCAACCUGCCCCUCUCAUUGGGAUAGCCACGGGAAACCGUGGAUAAUACCGAAUACUUCGAGUCUCCCGCAUGGAAGACUCGAGAAAGCUCCGGCGGAGAGGGAUGGGCCCGCGGCCUGUUAGCUUGUUGGUGGGGUAACGGCCUACCAAGGCAAUGAUGGGUAGCUGGGUUGAGAGACCGACCAGCCAGAUUGGGACUGAGACACGGCCCAGACUCCUACGGGAGGCAGCAGUGGGGAAUCUUGCACAAUGGGCGAAAGCCUGAUGCAGCGACGCCGCGUGCGGGAUGAAGGCCUUCGGGUUGUAAACCGCUUUCAGCAGGGACGAGGCGAAAGUGACGGUACCUGCAGAAGAAGCCCCGGCUAACUACGUGCCAGCAGCCGCGGU
RNAcentral lists this ribosomal RNA (462 nucleotides) under unidentified oral bacterium RP55-47. RNAcentral's name for it is "bacterial SSU rRNA". It matches the Rfam family "Bacterial small subunit ribosomal RNA", at positions 47 to 521 of the family's 1533-position model. The record is from RNAcentral.